GACGAACGCUGGCGGCGUGCUUAACACAUGCAAGUCGAGCGGUAAGGCCCUUUCGGGGUACGACGAGCGGCGAACGGGUAGGAGUAACACGUGGGUGGACCUCGCCCUCCAGCUCUGGGAGUAAGCCUCGGGAAACGUAGGGUCGUAAUAACUGGAUAUGACUCCACGGUGCAUGUCGUGGGGUGGAAAGCCUUGUGCGGCUGAGGA
Molecule: ribosomal RNA, 207 nt
Filed under: uncultured bacterium
Lineage: Bacteria
Description: partial 16S ribosomal RNA
Rfam family: Bacterial small subunit ribosomal RNA
Source: RNAcentral